Molecule: ribosomal RNA, 267 nt
Filed under: uncultured bacterium
Lineage: Bacteria
Description: partial 16S ribosomal RNA
Rfam family: Bacterial small subunit ribosomal RNA
Source: RNAcentral
CCGGGCACCCUAUCUUCGGAUAGAAGCGAGUGGCGAACGGCUGAGUAACACGUGGAGAACCUGCCCCCUCCCCCGGGAUAGCCGCCCGAAAGGACGGGUAAUACCGGAUACCCCGGGGUGCCGCAUGGCACCCCGGCUAAAGCCCCGACGGGAGGGGAUGGCUCCGCGGCCCAUCAGGUAGACGGCGGGGUGACGGCCCACCGUGCCGACAACGGGUAGCCGGGUUGAGAGACCGACCGGCCAGAUUGGGACUGAGACACGGCCCAG